RNAcentral lists this ribosomal RNA (478 nucleotides) under uncultured bacterium. RNAcentral describes it as "partial 16S ribosomal RNA". It matches the Rfam family "Bacterial small subunit ribosomal RNA", at positions 28 to 523 of the family's 1533-position model. The record is from RNAcentral.
GACGAACGCUGGCGGCGUGCUUAACACAUGCAAGUCGAACGGUAAGGCCCUUCGGGGUACACGAGUGGCGAACGGGUGAGUAACACGUGGGUGAUCUGCCCUGCACUUCGGGAUAAGCCUGGGAAACUGGGUCUAAUACCGGAUAGGACCACUGCCUGCAUGGGUGGUGGUGGAAAGCUUUUGCGGUGUGGGAUGGGCCCGCGGCCUAUCAGCUUGUUGGUGGGGUGAUGGCCUACCAAGGCGACGACGGGUAGCCGGCCUGAGAGGGUGACCGGCCACACUGGGACUGAGAUACGGCCCAGACUCCUACGGGGGGCAGCAGUGGGGAAUAUUGCACAAUGGGCGCAGGCCUGAUGCAGCGACGCCGCGUGAGGGAUGACGGCCUUCGGGUUGUAAACCUCUUUCAGCACCGACGAAGCGCAAGUGACGGUAGGUGCAGAAGAAGGACCGGCCAACUACGUGCCAGCCGCCGCCGUAA